GCGUUGAAAAGCUCGGGGAUGACUUGUGGGUAGCGGUGAAAUUCCAAUCGAGCCCGGAGAUAGCUGGUUCUCCCCGAAAUAGCUUUAGGGCUAGCCUCAAGGUGAGAGAUACGGAGGUAGAGCACUGAAUGUCCUAGGGGGUAUUGCACCUACCGAAGACUAUCAAACUCCGAAUGCCGUCAUCUUAUACUUGGGAGUCAGACUGUGGGUGAUAAGAUUCAUAGUCGAAAGGGCAACAGCCCAGAUCGUCAGCUAAGGUCCCUAAAUGUAAGUUAAGUGGUAAAGGAUGUGGGAUUGCACAGACAACCAGGAUGUUGGCUUAGAAGCAGCCACUCAUUCAAAGAGUGCGUAAUAGCUCACUGGUCGAGUGAUCCUGCGCCGAAGAUUUCCGGGGCUAAAACUUACUACCGAAGCUACGGCAUCAGUAAUGAUGGGUAGGGGAGCUUCCCAUACGGGUUGAAGCAUGACCGUAAGGACAUGUGGACAGUAUGGGAGUGAGAAUGUUGGCAGGAGUAGCGAGAUGUGGGUGAGAAUCCCACAGGCCGUAAACCCAAGGUUUCCAGGGGAAGGUUCGUCCGCCCUGGGUUAGUCGGGACCUAAGCUGAGGCCGAAAGGCGUAGGUGAUGGACAACAGGUU
This 637-nucleotide ribosomal RNA is filed under the name Clostridioides difficile. RNAcentral describes it as "bacterial LSU rRNA". It matches the Rfam family "Bacterial large subunit ribosomal RNA", at positions 786 to 1431 of the family's 2925-position model. Lineage: Bacteria; Bacillati; Bacillota; Clostridia; Peptostreptococcales; Peptostreptococcaceae. The record is from RNAcentral.